GUGUCCAAUAGUGAUAAAAUUAUAUUUGAUUAAAAGAUAGGAUUCAAUAACCAAGCUUUUAUGCAAAUAGCUUUGUACUCCACUUUGCCACAAUAUGCAUAUAUUUGGUAGGCUCUGGUAUAACUCCUAGUGAAUCUUGCCAAUACAUUCAAUGUAUUGACCCUAGUGGCUGCAUCGUUUAAUGAUGCAGAAAGCUCCGACGACGAGUAAGAUGUACGUUCUGCAUGUUUGGGUUACGGGUUUACAUUCCAACACGCUCUCACCAUGGUGUUGAUGUGCCCUUGUAUCUUUCGUUUUCCGCUGCUAAACAGUUGUUUUAUUUCCAGCUAACCUAUGAGGUUAUGCGAGUUGUAAGUACCUUAUAAAUUCUGGAUGAUUCGUUGUAAUAUUGAGACCUUUGUUUUCUGAUAUUACAUCUUGAAACUGUGUGUGCUAGUGAGUCGAUCCAGGGACUAGCACUAAAGCAUAGAGAUCAAACCCGUAUACGGGGCGGUCGCUUCAGCGGGCGCGCGCACGGGCGGCUCGGUUGGUCGGGCUGGCUUGGCCGGUUCCGGGCCGGUUCGGCCCAAGCGGUCGGACCGGUCCGGUUCACCCUUUUUUUUUCUUUUUUUUCCCUUUUUCUUAUUUCUUUGGUAUCUUUUCAUUUUGAACUCCAAAUUGAUCCAAAUAAAUUCCAGAAAAUUUGCAAAAUCAUGUUUUAUCAUGAUACAACUUUUGGGAGUAGUUUUUCCUCAAAAUAAAAUAUAUAAAAAUACAUUUACCCUAUAAAUGCCUUUAGGGCUAUAUAUCUAUUUUAAAUAAAAUACUUUUUCAACUCCAAAUAAUUAUCCAAAAAUUAUAGGAUAGCUUAUAUAUGCAAUAAACCCCUUUUAUACAUAAACCCUAUUGGUUUGAAAAUCUAAAGCUUAAAUGGGUGUAAACAAAGUCUUUUAAAGCCUUUUGAGAUUCAAAUUUGAAUUCAAAUAUGCAAUUGUGGCAUGAUGCUCAUGGAUGCAAUGCACAUGUAAAAGUUUGAAAUUUUGGGAUGUUACAGACCUAACCCCCUUAAGAUGAAUCUCGUCCUCGAGAUUCAGUGUGGCUAGCAAAGAGGUGUGGGUGGUCUUCUCGAAGAUCAUCUUCGCGUUCCCAAGUGGCUUCUUCUUCAGUGUGAUGGUCCCACUGAACUUUGCAGAACUUGAUAGUCUUGGAUCGGGUCUGUCUCUCAGCUGUAUCCAAGAUCCUGACCGGUUUCUCCUCAUAGGUGAGGUCACUCUGUAACUGGACUUCCUCAAGUGGAAUUGUAUCCCUCAGGGGUGUGUCGACCAUCUCGGGGUGACACUUCUUCAGUUGUGAUACGUGGAAGACGUUGUGGACAUUGGACAGUGCUUCCUGUAAAUCCAACUUGUAGGCUACCUCUCCUUGUCGCGACAAGAUCUUGAAAGGUCCAAUGAAACGGGGUGCUAACUUUCCUUUUAUGCCAAA
Molecule: long non-coding RNA, 1461 nt
Filed under: Brachypodium distachyon (stiff brome)
Lineage: Eukaryota; Viridiplantae; Streptophyta; Magnoliopsida; Poales; Poaceae
Description: long non-coding RNA (BDIS_LNC002439)
Source: RNAcentral